CCCUGCUGCUCUGUGCCAGUAGCACUUGCCAAGUUCUUCCAAACAGACUCCUGGGCAGGACAGUGACCAUGACACCAUUUCCUCACCUGGCGUGGCUUUGGAAGGAAAAAGCAAAUGACAUAGGUGGAUAUUGUCAAGACAGUUACAUGAGGAGUACAGUCUCUUACAGAUCCUAGAAUCCCCAGGAAUCCUGAUGACUCCCUCCCAACUGCUGCCAUUUGUGGUGCUAAUGAAGGACGGCACCUGACCCAACAAGAGCUCUCAGAAUCCCAGUCCUGUACUGCAGUCAUUCUAGGUUGCGGUUGUGACCAGUGGUCCUGUAGCAGUGACUGUGCAUGCUUGUAUUUCCCUUGGUUACUACCCGCUCAAGUCUCCCAUAUAAUCCAUCCGCUUUGCUUCCAAUAAAUUUUGUUUCUCUCUAGAAAUGAGAUUGGCUCUCCAGGAAAGCGGUGUUCUGUACCACCGAG
RNAcentral lists this long non-coding RNA (467 nucleotides) under Fukomys damarensis (Damara mole-rat). RNAcentral's name for it is "lncRNA (ENSFDAG00000027798.1)". Lineage: Eukaryota; Metazoa; Chordata; Mammalia; Rodentia; Bathyergidae. The record is from RNAcentral.